Long non-coding RNA from Cynoglossus semilaevis (tongue sole), 2456 nucleotides. RefSeq lists it as uncharacterized. The record is from RefSeq and is a predicted model, not a curated record. NCBI's taxonomy places the organism in Eukaryota, Metazoa, Chordata, Actinopteri, Pleuronectiformes, Cynoglossidae. The transcript is spliced from 2 exons.
UGUUUCUGCUUCCAUGAGAUUCAAGGCUCGUCUGUUACGACAGAUACACCUGCUAAUCUUUAAACAAGGCAGCGAGAGGCCAGGAUUCUGUUUGGUCUUAUACGAGUGUCCUCUGGUUAUCUGGCAGGGUUAUUGUCUCAUCUGUUCAUUGUUCAUUCAAACAACAACCUCAUCUCCACACUCGGUAUGCAGCCAAGGUGCUAAUAACUAGCGAAUUCUUUAUUUAUAUUCUCGUUUCAUUUACAUUGCCAAUGAAGGAGCAGGGAACGUGAUGAAGAGUACGGUUGACCUGUUUUCAUAGAAAGGUCUCAAAAAAAGAAAGAAAAUAAAAUUGUACGCUCUCAGUGCUUAAAGAACGACUGCGCUUUUUUCAACUGAUCCCUUUGGAGUUUUGUUUUUUUGUUCCCAUGAACUGAGGGGGUGUUCAGGAGCACGGUUGGUGCCAAAAGUGAGAGCAGAAAAACAAAGGAAAUUUGCGAGUAAUGGCAUUUGGCGUGAACAGUCUAUUCCAGAUCAACGACGCUGAGAGGCACAAACAUGUUGUGGUAACCUCUGACAGUGAGCAGCUGAAACAUGAACACAACUAUACAAACCACAUUAGCAUUCUUGCUAAUACGUGUGUUGUGUUGAGGUUUUGUGCAUGGAUUAUUUGGAAUUUGGCGUCAGUUUAUUUUUCUGAACUGGACGUCACUUUCCUAAAACCAGACUCUAUUUAGAUUGACGUCUAACACUGAAAAACCCAACAGGAUUCUGGUCCCGGGUGAUGCUGGUUGUUAUUGUUGAAUUGAAACCAUAUGAACCAUACUAAUUUAAACCCAUGCAGAUAAGAUUUGAUCGAUUGUGUUGACAGUCUGCACUGUAUAAAUAUUUUGGUUGAGAAAUUGUGCCAGAUCAGCAGAUUUAGUUUUAGUAUGAUAUAUUUUUGCUUUUUUAGUUAAAAACACAUUUUUACAAUUAACAACAGUAUUUAAGCUCCAUUUGUGUGUUGGAUCAUUAUAGGUAGACCAUGCAACCCAUAUGUGGUCUGCUGGACACAUGUUGGUCCCACGGGACGGCUCUGGCAGUUGUACUUCAGACAACCUGCCCAUUUUAAACACAUGCUAACGUUAUGCCCGUUGAGCCCACAGUGAAACAGCAAUUUGUACACAAGCAACGUCGGCCUCCGCCACACAGGUUUACCAUGUAACAAUUUAAGAUUUUCUUUGUUUACCCAGACCGCCACACUCCAGAGGUUGCACACAGAACUGCAUUCAACAGGCGACCUCAGUGAGUCUUCUAAUGAUGCCUUAUUUUUCCAGGUCUGCUUGCAGAUGACCCUCAAGGAUUUUGGGGGAAAAAAAUGUUGAGGCAGAAAAAUGUACCGUUGUUUAAAGUUCAUUAUAUGCGACUGUGUACGUGUAGCAUUUCAACCAUCUUUUGAAUAUAACACAACUAUUUAAUGCCACUAUUUAACACAGGGGUGUCAAACACAUUUUCACCAUGGGAGGUACAUCAGCAAUACAGUUACCCUUGAAGGGCUACCUCUAAAAAGUACACUGUAUAGAUGUAAAAAAAAUAGCCUUUUUAAUGUGAUUUACUGUGUGAAGUACCGUAAAGUAACGUCACCUGUAAAAUUACUAUAUUGUAUAAAAACAAUUAAAAGUUGAGUUCGGUUAGCCUUAGUUAGCUCAAACACAGCGGCAGACUCUGUAGCCAACGAAAUCUACAUAUACAUUUUUGCCAGCAGAGAAAACACCCCAAGCAGUUCGAAAGUAUACUUCGUUGCCCACAGCUUAAUAAUCGGCAAACACCGUAAAGUACUCCGAGUCACGUACUUCAGUUUAAUCCAAACUUUCUUGUCACUCAGCUCCGCCCCCUCUCCUGAAUCAGUAAAGAUCCAAAACAAUAGCUUUAUUAUUCUUUUUAUCUCUAAUAUUACACACGGGUGCUACAUGCCGGAUUACAGUUAACAUUAAACAUAAUCUGAAAAUACAUUUUUUGUCGGAAAUAUCACUUUUACUCAGCCAGGACAGCGUGCUAACAGCAAACUCUUAAUGUUUCUUAUACGAGGUGGACGCUGGGAGCAUGACAACGAGGGCCACAGGCAACAAAUGAAGGGCAACGAGGCUGGAACCACCAUAUGUGAAGAAUAACCUUUGAAUAAAGGAGUGAAAGCAGCGAAUAGUCGUGUUCUUGUUACGGGGAAGGAGACCGCAGCAAACAUGGCGGUGUACUGUGUAUUUCUAUGGAUGUGUUAAUUUAACAGCCUGUUUUUUUUGACGUUUAGAAUGGCCGUUGAGUUGAGGAAUAAAGCGCUGUUGUCAACGGCGGCUCAGUGGGGGAAGGGGGAUGGAUGCUUGAGCCAGGCUCCGGCGGCCUGUCGGCGCUACAGCCCUGCUUCGAACAACAAAAACUGUCUCUGGUCCUCACUAAAAAAUAACGGUCAAGUCCCGUCUCCAUUUAAAAGCACACACACU